RNAcentral lists this ribosomal RNA (232 nucleotides) under uncultured bacterium. RNAcentral describes it as "partial 16S ribosomal RNA". It matches the Rfam family "Bacterial small subunit ribosomal RNA", at positions 545 to 776 of the family's 1533-position model. The record is from RNAcentral.
UCGGAAUCACUAGGCGUAAAGCGCAGGUAGGAGGUUUAGUAAGUCUGUUGUGAAAGCUCCCGGCUUAACUGGGAGAGGUCAACGGAAACUGCUAGGCUAGAGUGUGGUAGAGGUAGCUGGAAUUCCCGGUGUAGCGGUGAAAUGCGUAGAUAUCGGGAGGAAUACCUAUGGCGAAAGCAGGCUACUGGACCAUCACUGACUCUGAUCUGCGAAAGCUAGGGGAGCAAACAGG